Molecule: transfer RNA, 77 nt
Filed under: Escherichia coli
Lineage: Bacteria; Pseudomonadati; Pseudomonadota; Gammaproteobacteria; Enterobacterales; Enterobacteriaceae
Also listed under: 4 other names
Description: tRNA-Pro
Rfam family: tRNA
About the family: Transfer RNA (tRNA) molecules are approximately 80 nucleotides in length. Their secondary structure includes four short double-helical elements and three loops (D, anti-codon, and T loops).
Source: RNAcentral
CGGUACGUAGCGCAGCCUGGUAGCGCACCGUCAUGGGGUGUCGGGGGUCGGAGGUUCAAAUCCUCUCGUGCCGACCA